Molecule: ribosomal RNA, 133 nt
Filed under: uncultured bacterium
Lineage: Bacteria
Description: partial 16S ribosomal RNA
Source: RNAcentral
AAGUUAACGUCAAGACUCAAGGUUAUUAACCUUAAGCUUUUCUUCACAAUUGAAAGUGCUUUACAACCCGCAGGCCUUCUUCACACACGCGGCAUUGCUGGAUCAGGCUUUCGCCCAUUGUCCAAUAUUCCCC